GAGAUUGAGAGUUUGAUCCUGGCUCAGGACGAACGCUGGCGGCGUGCCUAACACAUGCGAGUCGAGCGGGCCGUAAAGUGGAAUUGACCUUCGGGUCAAGGAAGCUAGACGGCUAGCGGCGGACGGGUGAGUAACGCGUGGGCAACCUGGCUUGUCGACUGGGAUAACACCGGGAAACCGGUGCUAAUACCGGAUAAAACAUUAAAGGGACAUCCCUUAAAUGUCAAAGCGAACGAGUGCGGCAAGAUGGACCCGCGUCCCAUUAGCUAGUUGGUAGGGUAAUGGCCUACCAAGGCGACGAUGGGUAGCCGGCCUGAGAGGGCAACCGGCCACACUGGGACUGAGACACGGCCCAGACUCCUACGGGAGGCAGCAGUGGGGAAUAUUGCGCAAUGGGGGAAACCCUGACGCAGCAACGCCGCGUGAGCGAAGAAGGCCUUCGGGUCGUAAAGCUCUGUCAACGGGGAAGAAGACUCUCCAAUAGGAGAGAUGACGGUACCCGAGGAGGAAGCCCCGGCUAACUACGUGCCAGCAGCCGCGGUAAUACGUAGGGGGCAAGCGUUGUCCGGAAUUACUGGGCGUAAAGGGCGUGUAGGUGGUCAUUUAAGUCAGUGGUGAAAAGUGAGGGCUUAACCCUAACCUUGCCAUUGAAACUGGAAGACUUGAGGGCAGGAGAGGUAAGUGGAAUUCCUAGUGUAGCGGUGAAAUGCGUAGAUAUUAGGAAGAACACCAGUGGCGAAGGCGACUUACUGGACUGACCCUGACACUGAGGCGCGAAAGCGUGGGGAGCAAACAGGAUUAGAUACCCUGGUAGUCCACGCCGUAAACGAUGGAUACUAGGUGUUGGGGGAUCGACCCCCCCCAGUGCCGCAGCUAACGCAUUAAGUAUCCCGCCUGGGGAGUACGGCCGCAAGGCUGAAACUCAAAGGAAUUGACGGGGGCCCGCACAAGCGGUGGAGCAUGUGGUUUAAUUCGACGCAACGCGAAGAACCUUACCAGGGCUUGACAUCCCUCUGACCGGUAUAGAGAUAUACCUUUUCUUUGAACAGAGGAGACAGGUGGUGCAUGGUUGUCGUCAGCUCGUGUCGUGAGAUGUUGGGUUAAGUCCCGCAACGGGCGCAACCCCUAUUGUUAGUUGCCAGCAUUAAGUUGGGCACUCUAACAAGACUGCCGGUGACAAACCGGAGGAAGGUGGGGAUGACGUCAAAUCAUCAUGCCCCUUAUGUCCUGGGCUACACACGUGCUACAAUGGCCUGUACAGAGGGCAGCAAAGCCGCGAGGCGGAGCAAAUCCCAAAAAGCAGGUCUAAGUUCGGAUUGCAGGCUGCAACUCGCCUGCAUGAAGUCGGAAUCGCUAGUAAUCGCAGGUCAGCAUACUGCGGUGAAUACGUUCCCGGGCCUUGUACACACCGCCCGUCACACCACGAAGGCCGGCAACACCCGAAGCCGGGAAGCUAACUCGAAAGAGAGGCUACCGUCGAAGGUGGGGUUAGUGAUUGGGGUGAAGUCGUAACAAGGUAGCCGUAAAUGAGAGUUUGAUCCUGGCUCAGGAAGUAAAAGUCGUAACAAGGUAGCCGUAGAUGAGAGUUUGAUCCUGGCUCAGAAGUCGUAACAAGGUAGCCGUA
Molecule: ribosomal RNA, 1624 nt
Filed under: uncultured bacterium
Lineage: Bacteria
Description: bacterial SSU rRNA
Rfam family: Bacterial small subunit ribosomal RNA
Source: RNAcentral